GUGAGACAACAUGCUAAAUGUCACAAAGCUUAUGAUUCCCACUGACAUCCGGCCGAGUGUCUCGAAUAAAGGCACCCAGGAUGGUGGCAAGCCUUUGCUUUUAAUGUUUUCUCUUUUACACAAGUUUUGAUCAAUUUGAUUGAGUGCCAGGCACUGUGAACGUAUACAUACUAUUUCCUGUAACCUGGCAAGAACUUAGGUGAGUCCUACAGCUCCCUUAUCCUCACUGUAACAUAAGAGUGAUAUCCUUCAUCUGUAUGGUUGGACCGUUCACCGUGUGUGUGCACGAGAACACACUGCCUACAGGAGGACGCACUCAUGGACUCCGUGGUCCUUGCAACAGUAAGGAACCUGAAGUCAUUGGACCAAAUAGUAUGAGCAAUGGCUUCUAGCCCUCAUUGUCCUGGAUAUUUGAUUCUGGACUUUGCAGAAUGGACCAAGUUGGAUCUAAGGAUGCUGAGAAGUCUGGCAAGUGGGGGAGAUGGUGGGGUGCCAAUGAUAGGUGGGGGAAGCUCGGCUUCUGAUGGUCGUCUUGCCCAACUUCUGUAAGGCUUCAUGGCCUCCAAUCCCAAUACACAGACGCUCAUCUUGCCUGAGUCACAUGCUUCAGACUCCUGGGCGUAGUUGUGUGUCUUUGAAUAGAGAGAGAUUCUUUAUCCUCAGCGCUUUCUCCGAUGCCAAGAUUGACUUUCACCUUUUAGGACACAUUCAGUUCCACUGGCAUAAGUGUGACUCCAACAGGUUUAAGCAAAACAGAGAAAACAAUAAGGCACCUAUUGGUCAGUCUAGAAGUCCAAGGGUUAACAGCGUUGAGCACAGCUGAAUCGGGGGCACAAAUGACAUCGGUUUUAGAAUCCUAUCUUUCCAAGGCUUCCCCCUCCUCUCCACCCUCCCUCUACUCUCUGCCCCUCCCCUGGUGACUUCUCUCUAGACUCUCCUCUUUCUCCGCUUCUCCAUAAUGUCACCUCCCUCUUCCCAUCUCCCUCCCCACAACUCCCCCUCCCCCAGCUAAUUAAAUGAUACAGCGCAA
Molecule: long non-coding RNA, 1030 nt
Organism: Suricata suricatta (meerkat)
Lineage: Eukaryota; Metazoa; Chordata; Mammalia; Carnivora; Herpestidae
Exons: 2
Source: RefSeq, a predicted model, not a curated record